Molecule: ribosomal RNA, 245 nt
Filed under: uncultured bacterium
Lineage: Bacteria
Description: partial 16S ribosomal RNA
Rfam family: Bacterial small subunit ribosomal RNA
Source: RNAcentral
UACGUAGGUGGCAAGCGUUGUCCGGAAUUAUUGGGCGUAAAGGGCGUGUAGGUGGGUAAUUAAGUCUUGUGUCUAAGUGCGGAGCUCAACUCCGUAUGGGCGCAGGAAACUGAAUAUCUUGAGUGCAGGAGAGGAAAGUGGAAUUCCCAGUGUAGCGGUGAAAUGCGUAGAUAUUGGGAGGAACACCAGUGGCGAAGGCGACUUUCUGGACUGUGUCUGACACUGAGGCGCGAAAGCCAGGGGAG